This 74-nucleotide transfer RNA is filed under the name Salmonella enterica subsp. enterica. Its description in RNAcentral is "tRNA-Gly". It matches the Rfam family "tRNA". Rfam says of the family: Transfer RNA (tRNA) molecules are approximately 80 nucleotides in length. Their secondary structure includes four short double-helical elements and three loops (D, anti-codon, and T loops). Further hydrogen bonds mediate the characteristic L-shaped molecular structure. tRNAs have two regions of fundamental functional importance: the anti-codon, which is responsible for specific mRNA codon recognition, and the 3' end, to which the tRNAs corresponding amino acid is attached (by aminoacyl-tRNA synthetases). tRNAs cope with the degeneracy of the genetic code in two manners: having more than one tRNA (with a specific anti-codon) for a particular amino acid; and 'wobble' base-pairing, i.e. permitting non-standard base-pairing at the 3rd anti-codon position. Lineage: Bacteria; Pseudomonadati; Pseudomonadota; Gammaproteobacteria; Enterobacterales; Enterobacteriaceae. The record is from RNAcentral.
GCGGGCACGUAUAAUGGUUAUUACCUUCAGCCUUCCAAGCGAUGAUGCGGGUUCGAUUCCCGCUGCUCGCUCCA